This 301-nucleotide ribosomal RNA is filed under the name uncultured bacterium. RNAcentral describes it as "partial 16S ribosomal RNA". It matches the Rfam family "Bacterial small subunit ribosomal RNA", at positions 509 to 807 of the family's 1533-position model. The record is from RNAcentral.
CAGUAGCCGCGGGAAUACGAAGGGGGCUAGCGUUACUCGGAAUUACUGGGCGUAAAGGGCGCGUAGGCGGCACGAUUAGUCAGGCGUGAAAUUCCUGGGCUCAACCUGGGGACUGCGCUUGAUACGGUCGAGCUAGAGGAUGGAAGAGGGUUGUGGAAUUCCCAGUGUAGCAGUGAAAUGCGUAGAGAUCGGAAGGAACAUCUGUGGCGAAGGCGGCCCCCUGGACAAAGACUGACGCUCAGGUGCGAAAGCGUGGGGAGCAAACAGGAUUAGAGACCCCAGUAGUCCCUGUCUCUUAUAC